UGCAGUCGAGCGGACAGAAGGGAGCUUGCUCCCGGAUGUUAGCGGCGGACGGGUGAGUAACACGUGGGUAACCUGCCUGUAAGACUGGGAUAACUCCGGGAAACCGGAGCUAAUACCGGAUAGUUCCUUGAACCGCAUGGUUCAAGGAUGAAAGACGGUUUCGGCUGUCACUUACAGAUGGACCCGCGGCGCAUUAGCUAGUUGGUGAGGUAACGGCUCACCAAGGCGACGAUGCGUAGCCGACCUGAGAGGGUGAUCGGCCACACUGGGACUGAGACACGGCCCAGACUCCUACGGGAGGCAGCAGUAGGGAAUCUUCCGCAAUGGACGAAAGUCUGACGGAGCAACGCCGCGUGAGUGAUGAAGGUUUUCGGAUCGUAAAGCUCUGUUGUUAGGGAAGAACAAGUGCAAGAGUAACUGCUUGCACCUUGACGGUACCUAACCAGAAAGCCACGGCUAACUACGUGCCAGCAGCCGCGGUAAUACGUAGGUGGCAAGCGUUGUCCGGAAUUAUUGGGCGUAAAGGGCUCGCAGGCGGUUUCUUAAGUCUGAUGUGAAAGCCCCCGGCUCAACCGGGGAGGGUCAUUGGAAACUGGGAAACUUGAGUGCAGAAGAGGAGAGUGGAAUUCCACGUGUAGCGGUGAAAUGCGUAGAGAUGUGGAGGAACACCAGUGGCGAAGGCGACUCUCUGGUCUGUAACUGACGCUGAGGAGCGAAAGCGU
Molecule: ribosomal RNA, 722 nt
Filed under: Bacillus sp. (in: firmicutes)
Lineage: Bacteria; Bacillati; Bacillota; Bacilli; Caryophanales; Bacillaceae
Description: bacterial SSU rRNA
Rfam family: Bacterial small subunit ribosomal RNA
Source: RNAcentral